CAGUCGCCGCGGUAAUACGAAGGGUGCAAGCGUUAAUCGGAAUUACUGGGCGUAAAGGGUGCGUAGGCGGUUGUUUAAGUCUGUUGUGAAAUCCCCGGGCUCAACCUGGGAAUGGCAAUGGAAACUGGACGGCUAGAGUGUGUCAGAGGAUGGUGGAAUUCCUGGUGUAGCGGUGAAAUGCGCAGAUAUCAGGAGGAACACCGGUGGCGAAGGCGGGUCUCUGGGCCGAUAUUGACGCUGAGGAGCGAAAGCGUGGGGAGCGAACAGGAUUAGAUACCCCCGUAGUCCCUGUCUCUUAUAC
This 301-nucleotide ribosomal RNA is filed under the name uncultured bacterium. RNAcentral's name for it is "partial 16S ribosomal RNA". It matches the Rfam family "Bacterial small subunit ribosomal RNA", at positions 509 to 807 of the family's 1533-position model. The record is from RNAcentral.